AGUUAAAAAGUACGUGAAAUUGUUGAAAGGGAAACGAUUGAAGCCAGUCGUACCUUCGGGUAAUCAGCCUUUUGGGUGUGAUUUUGUGGAGCGUGAAGAGUUAAACGCCUUCAUGCCUGCAUAUUCGUGCACUUUGGGUGUACUUGCCCGUAUGGUUGGUUAACAUCAAUUUUGGUGGUCAUAAAAUGACUGGAGGAAUGUAGCUUCGAUCUUGUAUUGAAGUGUUAUAGCCUUCGGUAGAUGUGAUGAUCGAGAUUGAGGAUUGCAACGGAUACCCUUUGGGGCUACCUGUCUGAUCUCUGAUCGUUGCUUUGGUGCCGAAAGCUUGCUUACGGUUAUCAAAGUCGAUGGUCAAUAGGUUAGAACGGGUUAAAUUCGUUAAGGAUGUUGACGUAAUGGCUUUAAA
Molecule: unclassified non-coding RNA, 406 nt
Filed under: uncultured Rhizophagus
Lineage: Eukaryota; Fungi; Glomeromycota; Glomeromycetes; Glomerales; Glomeraceae
Description: sequence contains 28S rRNA gene
Source: RNAcentral